Molecule: ribosomal RNA, 289 nt
Filed under: Dendrosporobacter quercicolus DSM 1736
Lineage: Bacteria; Bacillati; Bacillota; Negativicutes; Selenomonadales; Sporomusaceae
Description: partial 16S ribosomal RNA
Rfam family: Bacterial small subunit ribosomal RNA
Source: RNAcentral
UUUUAUGGAGAGUUUGAUCCUGGCUCAGGACGAACGCUGGCGGCGUGCCUAACACAUGCAAGUCGAACGGUUUUUGGACGUUGGACUUUGGACGUUAGAGGUUGGAAAAAGCAAAAAAAGAUUUGAUCCAACAUCCAAUAUCUAAAGUCCAGCGUCCGGAAAUAGUGGCGAACGGGUGAGUAACGCGUAGACAACCUGCCUUCCAGAUGGGGACAACACCGCGAAAGUGGUGCUAAUACCGAAUAAAGUAUUUUGAGCGCAUGCUUGAAAUAGCAAAGGUGGCCUCUGA